CCUACGGGUGGCAGCAGUGAGGAAUAUUGGUCAAUGGACGAGAGUCUGAACCAGCCAAGUAGCGUGAAUGAUGACUGCCCUAUGGGUUGUAAACUUCUUUUAUCUGGGAAUAAAAUGUUCCACGUGUGUGAUUUUGUAUGUACCAUAUGAAUAAGGCUCGGCUAACUCCGUGCCAUCAGCCGCGGUACUACGGAGGAUCCGAGCGUUAUCCGGCUUUAUUGGGUUUAAAGGGAGCGUAGGUUGAUUGUUAAGUUAGUUGUGAAAGUUUGCGGCUCAACCGUAAAAUUGCAGUUGAAACUGGCAGUCUUGAGUACAGUAGAGGUGGGAGGAAUUCGUGGUGUAGCGGUGAAAUGCUUAGAUAUCACGAAGAACUCCGAUUGCGAAGGCAGCUCACUGGACUGCAACUGACACUGAGGCUCGAAAGUGUGGGUAUCAAACAGGAUCAGAUACCCGGGUAGUC
This 460-nucleotide ribosomal RNA is filed under the name uncultured bacterium. RNAcentral describes it as "partial 16S ribosomal RNA". It matches the Rfam family "Bacterial small subunit ribosomal RNA", at positions 338 to 795 of the family's 1533-position model. The record is from RNAcentral.